Non-coding RNA from Drosophila bipectinata, 174 nucleotides. The record is from RefSeq and is a predicted model, not a curated record. Lineage: Eukaryota; Metazoa; Arthropoda; Insecta; Diptera; Drosophilidae.
CCUUUACACCAAUGGAAAGCUCAUGUACCUCGCUUUGGAGAUAUAGAAUGGAAUAUAUCUAUGGAUUAUCUUGAAGUAUAGCACAAAGUUUUCAACAUUCGAUCGGAAAGAGGAUGGAAGUUUUAAAUAAAAAUAGAAUUGGAAUGAAGACUUCAUUAAAAUAAUGGUACUAUC